UUAAUCAAUACACUAGAGACACCUCGGUUUAUACGUUCAACAAAGGCAUAACAAUAUUGCGAUAUUUAGAAGAUCCCUGCACCUGCAGUAUGGCAAAGCUAAGAAAGUACGGUACCAUACCUCUGUACAUAGUGGAAGAUCACAAUGAAGUUGUGCCAUUCAUACACAGGGCUAUAGGUGGACGAUAUUUACCUAUAUCAGACAUCAUCUUUGUGCAUUUUGACUCCCACCCUGAUCUACUCAUACCAGCAGAGCUGAAGGCUGAUGACAUCUUCAAUAAAGACAUUCUUUAUGAGAGCCAAAGCAUUGAGAACUGGAUACUACCUAUGGUGUAUGCAGGACACAUCAGUGACGUUGUCUGGUUUAAACCGCCAUGGUGUGAACAGAUCACAGACAAGACAAUUCAGUUUGAUGUGGGGAAGUGUUCUUCUUCUGGCUACCUAAGAACCAGCUGUAAAGAAAGUUACUUUGUCAGCGAGACGUUAUAUAGACCAGUGGAAAAACUUCUCAACAGAAAAACUCUCACCCUCACUGUGAUUACAGUCCAACCCACCAACUGGUCCGGAUCACAUCCACUGAAAAACUCAGAAAUGUGUCAGCAGAAUUGUGAACUUACUAACCAAAGGGAAAAGAAUGCACGCCAGUCAGAAGAAAAAAUUAAGUCAAGAGGAGACGGUCUAAAAACCACAGAUGUGUCAAGUCAGGGACUAAUUUGCAAGCAGGACACAGGAAGUAACUGUGGUAAUAACGAAGAUAUAAUAACUUCAGAUGAAUGCAAUGCCACACACGAAAGUCUGUGUCCGAGGAAAAAGCAGCGACCAAAUACAUGUGAACACACGGAAAGUAGACAAAGUGAUUCUAGUCUGGAGUCUGUACAUGUGCCACCAUUAUCAGACAAAUUCAUUUCAAAGUUGGAAAAUUUGUUUGAAAAGUUUAAAGAUUGUCAUAUUGUGUUAGACAUAGAUUUAGACUUCUUUUCAACUAAGAAUCCUUUUCGAGAAAUGUACAGCCCAAGACAGUUUCAGUUACUACAGGACCUCUAUGUGUACAACAAGCCUGCAGAUGACUCUGAUGAGGCCAUUACAAUGUGUGUAGAAGGAAGAGAGGAACAGUUGUCUCAGUUAAAACAGAUACUCAUGUCCAUGGGAGAUAACCCCGGAAUGAUUCCUAAACAUGAAAGGUGUGAGCUGAUCCUGAAAUUGGUUGGCGACCUGAGACAAACUUUUGGAGAGGAUGGUGUGGACUUCAGAUUAUUACACGACGCUGGAUGUACCUGUGAUGAUACAGAAUUGCCUCAUCAUGUCAGCAGCCAGGAGCAGAUAACUCUGUUGGUAGAUGCUGUACAGGAACUACUCUGUCGCAUGCACAAACCAACUAUCAUCACUAUGGCCAGGUCGAGUAAUGAUGACUACUGCCCUCCAGAUCAAGUGGAUUCUAUACAGGAUCAAACUCUGGAAAUCUUACAGGAUCUGUACUUAAAGCUCAAUCUCACAGCUUCUUAUUGACCUUAACUUAUUACAAAAGAUCUGUACGAUAGCCAGGUCCAUGGAACACGGUCACACAUCUCUUUAACGCGGAAAUAUUACCUGAUGUAUUUGGUAGGUGUGAACUUAACAGUGUUAACUUACUGGUAGGUGUGUAUUACUGGUAGGUGUAUGUGAACUCAACAGUGUUAACUUACUGGUAGGUGUAUGUGAACUCAAGUGUUAACUUACUGGUAGGUGUGUAUUACUGGGAGGUGUGUAUUACUGGUAGGUGUAUGUGAACUUAACAGGGUUAACUUACUGGUAGGUGUGUAUUACUGGUCGGUGCGUAUUACUGGUAGGGGUAUGUGAACUUAACAGUGUUAACUUACUGGUCGGUUGUAUUACUGGUAGG
RNA transcript from Mizuhopecten yessoensis (Yesso scallop), 1878 nucleotides. It is a transcript of the gene named UPF0489 protein C5orf22 homolog, with no coding region annotated. The transcript has 8 exons. The record is from RefSeq and is a predicted model, not a curated record. NCBI's taxonomy places the organism in Eukaryota, Metazoa, Mollusca, Bivalvia, Pectinida, Pectinidae.